Molecule: non-coding RNA, 156 nt
Organism: Ricinus communis (castor bean)
Lineage: Eukaryota; Viridiplantae; Streptophyta; Magnoliopsida; Malpighiales; Euphorbiaceae
Source: Rfam
GACUCUCGGCAACGGAUAUCUCGGCUCUCGCAUCGAUGAAGAACGCAGCAAAAUGCGAUACUUGGUGUGAAUUGCAGAAUCCCGUGAAUCAUCGAGUUUUUGAACGCAAGUUGCGCCCGAAGCCUUUCGACCGAGGGCACGCCUGCCUGGGUGUCA